Molecule: long non-coding RNA, 2246 nt
Filed under: Marmota monax (woodchuck)
Lineage: Eukaryota; Metazoa; Chordata; Mammalia; Rodentia; Sciuridae
Source: RNAcentral
GGACCCAGCACUGACGUUCUCUGACACAGUUCUCUUUGUGGUCUCUUCAGAGAGUCUGGCAUGUGUCAUUUUUCUGGAUUCCAGGUCUUCUUGGACAACCGAUAGCUUCUAUCAACUAACAUUUGCACUGGGCUAUGAGAAGUGGGUGGGUAUUCCAGACAAUCCCUCAAGAACAGCUAAGCAGCAGGCCACACGGGGAAGUCCCCCGAGCCACUAGAGGAGGAGCACACUGUGCGUUCCAGGAGGAUCCUGUGAAGCAAACAUCAAUGUGCAGAGCCCUGCCCUGGAUUCCCAGGCUUUUAACUCAAAUCUGCACCAUACUUUCACCUCAGCUGACUUCUGGACUUUUGUUUAAAAUUCAUACUCUGUACUUGAAACAGAAAAAAGAUGUGAUUUUUUUUUUUGGCUUAAUACUUCUGAAGGUGGUUGGGGGUAGCUGGACUCCAUCUGACUCAAGUUUGAGUCUAGACUUCCCCUCCAACUCCCUUUAGGUUGCUGAGUAAAUUGUAGUAUGUUUGACACAAAAUCAGUAUCUGUCAUGCACUCUUAGGCAAAUGAUAAUUUUCUACUGAAAACUAUUUCCUUAGUGAAGGUAAAUCUUCAACCCCUGUUGACAGAUCCAAUUUUUGCAAAACGCCAGAAAAGUCUGUAACAUGUGGGGAAGCAUAAUUCAGCUUAGCAGAUAUUAUUGAGCAGUUACUACCUGUCAUUUGCUCCUUUGCUCUGAGAGUUGCCUGCUCCCUCCCUCCGCUUCCCUCAGUGUUUAACCCCAAGAGUCAUGUCCAGCCAACUGGAAGCCUAUCAGGAGACCCGAGAGUGGGAAGUACGGACAGCCACUGGUGGGGGCCGCUUAGGUCCCUGUGUCCCCUUUAGUUUGGGGUACUGAGUGUCUGCUGCUGCAGGUUCACACCUAUGGUCUUCUCUGUGGGACUGUGCUGGUGUCAUCUUGCCUGGAGGUGCCCCUUGGUGACACAGCCACCUGGGAACCUUUCCUAAUCACUGACUUGUCUGGGGUGUACAGACCCAUCUCUGUGACCUCAAGCCAGGACACACUGUAAUGCAAUUGCUACUCUGAGGCUCCCUGCAGGACCUGGUUGAUAUUAGAGGUUCCCUGAACCCCACCCUUGUUUGAAUCCCUGUCUUUGCCACUCCUGCUUCCCGGGACAUACUAAUUCCUCUUGUAACAGACUCGCACACAGCUCCCUGCUGUUGCUCUGCUUGGGGGACACCCAGCCUAGCAGCAGGGGAAGGCGAGGUACUUGUUCGCUUCUUGUUCUGCAUCAGGUGGAGUCUGAUGCAGUCGUAUGGCUCCUUUGCCAUUGGGGCUCUUGUCCUGGUAGCUCAAGCCGGGUCUAGCUCCCCUGGUUGUUCUAGUUACUCUGUUCUCCAUGGCUUCAGUUCCCUGAAAUAGGUCUAUCGCCCCUCCUCCGGGCAGCCUGUGUGUGCAGACAUUUGGCCAGACCCAUGAGCAGACCCUCCACAGAAUUUCUGGCUCCUCGGGUAGUGCCAGCCCCUAGCUUGGGAAGGGCAGCCCUGGGGGCGGCAGCUCUCUGUAGUCACUGAGCUCUGAGUUGCCUCACAUUCGGCCUCUGCUUUUCUGACACCUCUGCAAUGAAUUCCUUGUGUUCAAUGCCCCCUGCUGUGCUCUGCACUAUACAUUCUAUGGGCUCAGCUGGAUAUUGGCUGGAACACAGUGGAACCCCAGGCUUGAUCUGGGUGCAGAAGACACAAUGCGUUGCCCUCAGGCCGUUGGUAGGUGUUCAUCUGGCACUUACUGCUGGAGAAAACCCUGCUCUGAUAGGAGGUCCUAUGGCAAGAGCCCAGGGAAGCAGCAUACAGGCCAUCUUGGGUGGCGAGGUAGUGAGGUAAGGAGGGGAACAGUGCCCGGGGAAGUGGCUGGAGCCGAGUGGUGGAGGACAGAGCUGACUUAGGACGGCUCAUGUACAGAUUUUCCUGCUCCGAGCCAACUCUGCUCCUGAAUGGUAGUGGAAAGGUGCUGAUCCCCAUUAUCUCUCCCUCUGUACUCCCUGGUCUUGGCCAGUGAAUGGCCAAGGGAGCUUUCAGUCAUCCUGCACAGGGAGGUGGGGGACACUGACUCCUGGUACUCAACAGCAGCUGGAGACAUACGCAGUGACUUUAGACCAACUGAGCCGUCUUCCUUGCAUGCUGGGGCAUCCCAGCAGGCAUUGCUGCACUGGGAGGGAAAAGGGGCUGCUCCUGCUGAGUACUCUCUGGCCACUGCCUCU